This 440-nucleotide ribosomal RNA is filed under the name uncultured bacterium. RNAcentral's name for it is "bacterial SSU rRNA". It matches the Rfam family "Bacterial small subunit ribosomal RNA", at positions 338 to 795 of the family's 1533-position model. The record is from RNAcentral.
CCUACGGGAUGCACCAGUGGGGAAUAUUGGACAAUGGGCGAAAGCCUGAUCCAGCAAUGCCGCGUGUGUGAAGAAGGUCUUCGGAUUGUAAAGCACUUUCGACGGGGACGAUGAUGACGGUACCCGUAGAAGAAGCCCCGGCUAACUUCGUGCCAGCAGCCGCGGUAAUACGAAGGGGGCUAGCGUUGCUCGGAAUGACUGGGCGUAAAGGGCGCGUAGGCGGUUUAUGCAGUCAGAUGUGAAAUCCCCGGGCUUAACCUGGGAACUGCAUUUGAGACGCAUAGACUAGAGGUCGAGAGAGGGUUGUGGAAUUCCCAGUGUAGAGGUGAAAUUCGUAGAUAUUGGGAAGAACACCGGUGGCGAAGGCGGCAACCUGGACCAACACUGACACUGAGGCACGAAAGCGUGGGGAGCAAACAGGAUUAGAUACCCGGGUAGUC